AGAGGAAACGGCGUGGAGGCUUUGCAGUUCAGGCGAAGAAGCCAAAAAGAAACGAAAAAGAUGCGGAGCCGCCAGCUAAGCGGCACGCCACAGCAGAGGAGGUGGAGGAAGAAGAGAGGGACCGGAUCCCAGGCCCCGUUUGCAAGGUUUGUGAAAUGAAGAACUGUAAUAAAUGCAUCUAUUUUGAAGCUAAGAAAAAACAGGAUCUCUAUAUGUGGCUUUCAAAUUCACCUCACGGACCAUCUGCUAAAUUCCUUGUUCAAAAUAUUCAUACCCUCGCUGAACUAAAGAUGACUGGAAACUGUUUGAAAGGUUCUCGGCCCCUUUUGUCUUUUGACCCUGCUUUUGAUGAAUUACCACAUUAUGCUUUGUUAAAAGAACUCUUAAUUCAGAUCUUUAGUACACCACGGUAUCAUCCCAAAAGCCAACCAUUUGUGGACCACGUGUUUACUUUCACCAUUUUGGAUAAUAGGAUAUGGUUUCGGAACUUUCAGAUCAUAGAAGAAGAUGCUGCUCUUGUAGAAAUAGGACCUCGUUUUGUCUUAAAUCUCAUAAAGAUUUUCCAGGGAAGUUUUGGAGGACCAACUUUAUAUGAAAAUCCUCACUACCAGUCACCAAACAUGCAUCGGCGUGUCAUAAGAUCCAUCACAGCUGCAAAAUACAGAGAGAAACAGCAAGUGAAAGAUGUGCAAAAACUGAGAAAGAAAGAGCCAAAGACUCUUCUUCCACAUGAUCCCACUGCA
Molecule: small RNA, 743 nt
Filed under: Pan troglodytes (chimpanzee)
Lineage: Eukaryota; Metazoa; Chordata; Mammalia; Primates; Hominidae
Description: processed transcript
Source: RNAcentral